UAGUCAAUGCUCGUAAGAGUGAACUAGCUAACUGAAAUCAAAGAGUUUAUUUAAACUCCUGAUGUCGUAAGGGAAAAUAAUGAUAAUACCUUACUAUUAGUGUCGUCCAAACCUGGUGCCAGAAGACUCGGUAAGACCAGAGACGCAAACGUUAAUCAUCAUAAUCAGGCGUAAAGGGUUUGUAGGCAGCUUUCUUAAAAAAUAAAAUAAAUUAGUUUAAUUGAAAGCUAGAAUCAAAAAGAGGUUAUAGUGUAUAACGCCUAGAGGAGGGCUGAUAUCCGUAGAUCCUAGGCAGAAUACUAAGGGCGAAGGCCACUCUCCACUAGUGAUUGACGCUGAGAAACGAAGGUUAGGGUAGGAAAUAGGAUUAGAUACCCCGGUACUCCUUUCUGUAAACGAUGAAUGGUAGUCAUUAGUUUUUAACUAGAGACGAAGUUAACACAAUAACCAUUCCGCCUUGUGAGUACUACUGCAAAGUAGAAAACAAAAAAAUUAGUCGGUCUCGAAGCAAACGGAGUGAAGCAUGUUAUUUAAU
Molecule: ribosomal RNA, 535 nt
Filed under: Picipes wuyishanensis
Lineage: Eukaryota; Fungi; Basidiomycota; Agaricomycetes; Polyporales; Polyporaceae
Description: SSU rRNA
Rfam family: Bacterial small subunit ribosomal RNA
Source: RNAcentral